This 497-nucleotide ribosomal RNA is filed under the name uncultured bacterium. Its description in RNAcentral is "partial 16S ribosomal RNA". It matches the Rfam family "Bacterial small subunit ribosomal RNA", at positions 28 to 507 of the family's 1533-position model. The record is from RNAcentral.
GAUGAACGCUGGCGGUGUGCCUAAUACAUGCAAGUCGAGCGAACGGACGAGAAGCUUGCUUCGCUGAUGUUAGCGGCGGACGGGUGAGUAACACGUGGAUAACCUACCUAUAAGACUGGGAUAACUUCGGGAAACCGUAGCUAAUACCAGAUAAUAUUUUGAACCGCAUGGUUCAAAAGUGAAAGACGGUCUUGCUGUCACUUAUAGAUGGAUCCGCGCUGCAUUAGCUAGUUGGUAAGGUAACGGCUUACCAAGGCAACGAUGUAUAGCUGACCUGACAGGGUGAUCAGCCACACUGGAACUGAGACACGGUCCAGACUACUACGGGAGGCAGCAGUAGGGAAUCUUGCGCAAUGGGCGAAAGCCUGACGGAGCAAGGCCGAGUGAGUGAUGAGGGUCUUCGGAUCGUAAAACUCUGUUAUUAGGGAAGAACAUGUGUGUAAGUAACUGUGCACAUCUUGACGGUACCUAAUCAGAAAGCCCCGGCUAACUACGUG